Mercenaria mercenaria is the source of this 1711-nucleotide RNA transcript. It is a transcript of the gene named ubiquitin-like-conjugating enzyme ATG10, with no coding region annotated. NCBI's taxonomy places the organism in Eukaryota, Metazoa, Mollusca, Bivalvia, Venerida, Veneridae. The record is from RefSeq and is a predicted model, not a curated record. The transcript has 3 exons.
AAAGGAAUCUUAAAGCGAAACCGGAAAUUGAUCCUGCAAAGUGAAAGUAGCUGGUGUGGAGUGAAUGACAUUGCUGUACGAUGAAUUCGGGAUUUAUUAAUGAAGACGAUUGUAAAUCUUGUAUGGAAGAGUUAUUCAGACGAUCCCAGAAUAUUUCAGAUUCAUGGGAGUUGUCAAGAUUCAAUGGAAAAACGUAUCUAACUAAGAAAACACUGCAAACAUGUUCAUUCAAAGAAGACGACGUGAAAAACUUAAAAUUUGAUGAUUUCAGUGAUGGAAUAGAACAUGCUCAUGAAGAUGACAAUUCAGUUGUCUGUGAUGAUAAGAAUAAACAGGUGUUGAUGUUUGAAUAUCAUGUAAUAUACAGUGAAAGUUACUCCGUACCAGUUCUCUAUUUCAAUGUUUACAGACAAGAUGGUAGCCUCUUGCCACUGGUCAAGGUGUGGGAACUUGUCCCAGAGUAUUUUCGCGAGAGAUUAGAUGAAGACAAGUGGACAUUCCUGACACAAACAGAGCAUCCCUAUAUAGGGAGACCGUUCUACCAGCUACACCCAUGUCAUACUGAUAAACUCAUGGCCGCCGUAUCUUCAGUGGAACAAAACCCAAGUGGAAGUCCGAGCAAUUAUUUGAUUGGCUGGCUCAGCUCUGUUGGACCGGUAGUACUACUGAAUAUGCCAUUUGAAUAUGUAGGUUGACAAAGGACUCAGAAUUUAGGCUACCAAGUUUGUGAUCCAUACAAGACGGUAUGUAGUACCUUUACAAAUGACGAAUAAUAGAUCAGCUGUUCUGAUGAAAAUUUAGUACGUGUCCGAAUAGUGUAUCACUAUGAAAUAGGAAAAAGGGGUGAACUGACCGCCUGAAUAAUGAGCAACGUGACAAGUAUUCAUAUUUACACAAAGUGCACAACCGGACCUCAGUAAUGGACUCCAAUGCAGUACGUGUUACUGCUUUGGCCAGAGUACCAACAACAUUAUUAAAGUUUUUAUACGCCCGAAAGGACGUGUUAUGUUAUGACGUUCGUCUGUCCGUCUGUCUGUCCUUUCUUCCUAAAUUUCGUGCCCGCUCUGUAACUCUUGAACCCCUUGAAGAAUUUCAAAGAAACUUGACACAAAUGUUCAAUAUAAUGAGACGACGUGCAGAGCGCAUGUUUCGGUUGGCUUGCUUCAAGGUCAAGGUCACACUUAGGGGGUCAAAGGUCAUACCCUCGGGCGUAUAUUUCACCACAUUGCGGUACUAUUUGUUUUAUCUUCAUAUGUAAAAUAUACUGCAGAGAACAGAAAAAAGGUUUUGUUAAUGCGUUAUUUGUAUAGAUCUACACUUACUGAGAAAUUAAUAUAACGUAUAUCAAUGUUACGAAAGGCCCAUUUAUAACGUUGCAACGAUUUUAAUUUGCGAAAAUUAUCAUCAUUCCACGUGGGCACUUACUUACACAAUUUUGUCUUUCCUUUUUAUUAUUUUUAUGUAAAGCUAAUACAUUCAUACCGAGAUGUCAGUAUUUAAGAAUACUCGUCUUUACUACGGAUAAAAUCUGUGUAGUUACAUCAAAAGUUAUUCAAACUGUGUUUUAAGAUAUCCUAUAAACUCUAUCCACACGCACUCACGCAUAUAGCCUGGCACGCAAAUUGUAAAUAACUAUAUAUGCAUUUAUAAUGUCUGUCGAAUAAUUUACGUUUUCUUUAUGUAUGGUGGUACUUUAUAUUCUAUGUGUAUU